RNAcentral lists this ribosomal RNA (253 nucleotides) under uncultured bacterium. RNAcentral describes it as "partial 16S ribosomal RNA". It matches the Rfam family "Bacterial small subunit ribosomal RNA", at positions 524 to 776 of the family's 1533-position model. The record is from RNAcentral.
AACGUAGGGGGCGAGCGUUGUCCGGAAUUACUGGGCGUAAAGGGCGUGUAGGCGGCCCGUGAAGUCAGGAGUGAAAGCCCGGGGCUCAACCCCGGGACUGCUUUUGAAACCAGCGGGCUUGAGUGCAGGAGAGGGAAGUGGAAUUCCCAGUGUAGCGGUGAAAUGCGUAGAUAUUGGGAGGAACACCAGUGGCGAAAGCGGCUUCCUGGCCUGUAACUGACGCUGAGGCGCGAAAGCGUGGGGAGCAAACAGG